Molecule: ribosomal RNA, 447 nt
Filed under: uncultured bacterium
Lineage: Bacteria
Description: bacterial SSU rRNA
Rfam family: Bacterial small subunit ribosomal RNA
Source: RNAcentral
UUCCAGACUCCUACGGGAGGCAGCAGUGGGGAAUAUUGCACAAUGGGGGAAACCCUGAUGCAGCAACGCCGCGUGAGUGAAGAAGUCAUUCGUGAUGUAAAGCUCUAUCAGCAGGGAAGAAAAUGACGGUACCUGACUAAGAAGCCCCGGCUAACUACGUGCCAGCAGCCGCGGUAAUACGUAGGGGGCAAGCGUUAUCCGGAUUUACUGGGUGUAAAGGGAGCGCAGACGGCAGUGCAAGUCUGGAGUGAAAGCCCGGGGCCCAACCCCGGAACUGCUCUGGAAACUGUGCGGCUAGAGUGCUGGAGGGGCAGGCGGAAUUCCUAGUGUAGCGGUGAAAUGCGUAGAUAUUAGGAGGAACACCAGUGGCGAAGGCGGCCUGCUGGACAGUAACUGACGUUGAGGCUCGAAAGCGUGGGGAGCAAACAGGAUUAGAUACCCCAGUAA